This is a long non-coding RNA of Xiphophorus maculatus (southern platyfish), 511 nucleotides long. RefSeq lists it as uncharacterized. The transcript is spliced from 3 exons. The record is from RefSeq and is a predicted model, not a curated record. Lineage: Eukaryota; Metazoa; Chordata; Actinopteri; Cyprinodontiformes; Poeciliidae.
GCAGAUUGAGAGACAGCAGAGGUCCGCAGCACGGAACCACGGGAAAGUCAACACUCCGCGCCGCCUAGAAGGGACAAGAUCUUACGGCCACAACCCUGGUUCCCGAUUCGACCGUCGGUCCUGCCUCAACCCAAAUUAGCAACAGACUUGGAGAAAAGACAAAGGUCCCGGGAGGAAAAAGAGCUGGGUUUUCGAAGGAUUUGGACCCGUUCUGCUUUGCUCCUAUUCAAAGGAGGAUUUUUCCAUGCAAGGACAAAGACUCAAACCAAGGCUUCUGGGAGUUCCUGUUGCUAAAGAUCCCUUGUCAACUGGGUAGAGCGACUCUGCCGCGCUGGCUGAGGACGAAGCUGCAGUCCGGAGCAUCAGAGGUGGCCUGCGUCAGGAACGACCAGGUCGACGCUCGGAGAUUCGUCAGAGUGACAGAAAUGAACUGGAAUAAAUGGCGACCGGAUCUCGGCGUUAAGCUGAAGGAAGAACCCGCAGAUCAGCUGACGACCGCAUGAACCCAGGA